AGAGUUUGAUCCUGGCUCAGAAUCAACGCUGGCGGCGUGCCUAACACAUGCAAGUCGAACGCGAAAGCCCCGCAAGGGGUCAGUAGAGUGGCAAACGGGUGAGUAACACGUGGGUGAUCUGCCUCAGAGUGGGGGAUAACGACCCGAAAGGGUCGCUAAUACCGCAUAACAUCCUGCCUUUGGAUAGGUGGAGAUCAAAGUUGGGGAUCCGCAAGGACCUGACGCUUGGAGAGGAGCCCGCGGCCGAUUAGCUAGUUGGUGAGGUAACGGCUCACCAAGGCAACGAUCGGUAUCCGGCCUGAGAGGGCGGACGGACACACUGGGACUGAGACACGGCCCAGACUCCUACGGGAGGCAGCAGUGGGGAAUUGUUCGCAAUGGGCGCAAGCCUGACGACGCAACGCCGCGUGGAGGACGAAGAUUUUCGGAUCGUAAACUCCUUUCGAUCGGGAAGAACAGCUUUUGGGUUAAUAGCCUGAGAGUCUGACGUACCGAGA
RNAcentral lists this ribosomal RNA (497 nucleotides) under uncultured bacterium. Its description in RNAcentral is "bacterial SSU rRNA". It matches the Rfam family "Bacterial small subunit ribosomal RNA", at positions 8 to 483 of the family's 1533-position model. The record is from RNAcentral.